Molecule: ribosomal RNA, 466 nt
Filed under: uncultured bacterium
Lineage: Bacteria
Description: partial 16S ribosomal RNA
Rfam family: Bacterial small subunit ribosomal RNA
Source: RNAcentral
GAUGAACGCUGGCGGCGUGCUUAACACAUGCAAGUCGAACGGAAAGGCUCCUGCUUGCAGGGGUACUCGAGUGGCGAACGGGUGAGUAAAACGCGGGGGAUCUGCCCUGCACUUCGGGAUAAGCCUGGGAAACUGGGGCUAAAACCGGAUAGGACGUUGUUUUGGAUGCCAUUGUGGAAAGAUUGUCCGGUGUGGGGUGAGUUCGCGGCCUAUCAGCGUGUUGGUGGGGUAUUGGCCUACUAAGGGGUCGACGGGUAGCCGGCCUGAGAGGGUGUACGGCCACAUUGGGACUGAGAGACGGCCCAGACUCCUACGGGAGGCAGCGGUGGGAAGUAUUGCGCAAUGAGCGCAAGCCUGAUGCAGCGACGCCGCGUGGGGGAUGACGGCCUUCGGGGUGUGAACACCUUUCGCUAGGGACGAAGCGCAAGUGACGGUACCUGGAGAAGAAGCAACGGCUAACUACGUG